Molecule: unclassified non-coding RNA, 132 nt
Filed under: soil metagenome
Description: partial internal transcribed spacer 1
Source: RNAcentral
AAAAAGGGUUCCAAAAGACUCUUAAAACCUACCGUGCUCCCCUACGUGGAAAACAGAAAGCCCCCCGGUGGCAUCAGCAAUCUGAGAAUGGAAAGGAACUGCGCCCCGGCGCACGACCGAUACAAAAAAUUA